GAUGAACGCUGGCGGCGUGCCUAAUACAUGCAAGUCGAGCGAACAGAUGAGGAGCUUGCUCCUCUGACGUUAGCGGCGGACGGGUGAGUAACACGUGGAUAACCUACCUAUAAGACUGGGAUAACUUCGGGAAACCGGAGCUAAUACCGGAUAAUAUAUUGAACCGCAUGGUUCAAUAGUGAAAGACGGUUUUGCUGUCACUUAUAGAUGGAUCCGCGCCGCAUUAGCUAGUUGGUAAGGUAACGGCUUACCAAGGCAACGAUGCGUAGCCGACCUGAGAGGGUGAUCGCCCACACUGGAACUGAGACGCGGUCCAGACUCCUACGGGAGGCAGCAGUAGGGAAUCUUCCGCAAUGGGCGAAAGCCUGACGGAGCAACGCCGCGUGAGUGAUGAAGGUCUUCGGAUCGUAAAACUCUGUUAUUAGGGAAGAACAAAUGUGUAAGUAACUAUGCACGUCUUGACGGUACCUAAUCAGAAAGCCACGGCUAACUACGUG
Molecule: ribosomal RNA, 497 nt
Filed under: uncultured bacterium
Lineage: Bacteria
Description: partial 16S ribosomal RNA
Rfam family: Bacterial small subunit ribosomal RNA
Source: RNAcentral